GACGAACCGAGCGAACGUUGUUCGGAAUCACUGGGCUUAAAGGGCGCGUAGGCGGCUUGUCAAGUCGGUGGUGAAAUCCUGCAGCUUAACUGUAGAAGUGCCUCCGAUACUGACGAGCUCGAGGGAGGUAGGGGUCUUUGGAACUUCUGGUGGAGCGGUGAAAUGCGUUGAUAUCAGAAGGAACGCCGGUGGCGAAAGCGAAGGACUGGACCUCUUCUGACGCUGAGGCGCGAAAGCUAGGGGAGCGAACGGG
Molecule: ribosomal RNA, 253 nt
Filed under: uncultured Gemmata sp.
Lineage: Bacteria; Pseudomonadati; Planctomycetota; Planctomycetia; Gemmatales; Gemmataceae
Description: partial 16S ribosomal RNA
Rfam family: Bacterial small subunit ribosomal RNA
Source: RNAcentral